AUUGAACGCUGGCGGCAGGCUUAACACAUGCAAGUCGAGCGAGCGGCGGACGGGUGAGUAAUGUCUGGGAACCUGCCUUAUGGAGGGGGAUAACUACUGGAAACGGUAGCUAAUACCGCAUACCAUCAGAUUUUCCCAGAUUGGAUUAGCUAGUAGGUGGGGUAAUGGCUCACCACGGAGACGAUCCCUAGCUGGUCUGAGAGGGUGACCGGCCACACUGGAACUGAGACACGGUCCAGACUCAUACGGGAGGCAGCAGUGGGGAAUAUUGCACAAUGGGCGCAAGCCUGAUGCAGCCAUGCCGCGUGUGUGAAGAAGGCCUUCGGGUUGUAAAGCACUUUCAGCGAGGAGGCGUUACUCGCAGAAGAAGCACCGGCUAACUCCGUGCCAGCAGCCGCGGUAAUUC
Molecule: ribosomal RNA, 406 nt
Filed under: uncultured bacterium
Lineage: Bacteria
Description: partial 16S ribosomal RNA
Rfam family: Bacterial small subunit ribosomal RNA
Source: RNAcentral